This 700-nucleotide ribosomal RNA is filed under the name Streptomyces termitum. RNAcentral describes it as "bacterial SSU rRNA". It matches the Rfam family "Bacterial small subunit ribosomal RNA", at positions 68 to 785 of the family's 1533-position model. The record is from RNAcentral. Lineage: Bacteria; Bacillati; Actinomycetota; Actinomycetes; Kitasatosporales; Streptomycetaceae.
GAUGAAGCCCUUCGGGGUGGAUUAGUGGCGAACGGGUGAGUAACACGUGGGCAAUCUGCCCUUCACUCUGGGACAAGCCCUGGAAACGGGGUCUAAUACCGGAUACGACCUGGGAAGGCAUCUUCCCGGGUGGAAAGCUCCGGCGGUGAAGGAUGAGCCCGCGGCCUAUCAGCUUGUUGGUGGGGUAAUGGCCUACCAAGGCGACGACGGGUAGCCGGCCUGAGAGGGCGACCGGCCACACUGGGACUGAGACACGGCCCAGACUCCUACGGGAGGCAGCAGUGGGGAAUAUUGCACAAUGGGCGCAAGCCUGAUGCAGCGACGCCGCGUGAGGGAUGACGGCCUUCGGGUUGUAAACCUCUUUCAGCAGGGAAGAAGCGCAAGUGACGGUACCUGCAGAAGAAGCGCCGGCUAACUACGUGCCAGCAGCCGCGGUAAUACGUAGGGCGCAAGCGUUGUCCGGAAUUAUUGGGCGUAAAGAGCUCGUAGGCGGCUUGUCACGUCGGGUGUGAAAGCCCGGGGCUUAACCCCGGGUCUGCAUCCGAUACGGGCAGGCUAGAGUGUGGUAGGGGAGAUCGGAAUUCCUGGUGUAGCGGUGAAAUGCGCAGAUAUCAGGAGGAACACCGGUGGCGAAGGCGGAUCUCUGGGCCAUUACUGACGCUGAGGAGCGAAAGCGUGGGGAGCGAACAGGAUUAGAUAC